AUAGACGCUGAUGAAGCACCAGCAAGGUAACUGUACCCAGUAGAUCAAGUACCAUCUUACACACUGUGCUCACUCACUCACAGAGCUGGCUGUAUUCUGGCUGGUCUGGGGUUCACUCCACAGAAGAAUGAGAUUUUAUCUAGCUAAGACACUAUUUGCAAGGGGAAGGCGUGGGUGUUUUUUCAGAAUCAGGCUUGUUUUCAGAGCUAUCUUUUAGCUGCCAUAACUUGAAUUCCGUGGAUACAAUUUCAAUGAUUUUCUGAUUUUCUGAAAGCUUAGAAAGAGACCUUUCAAAUGGUGUCAUCAAAGUUUAUAUUUGAGAGAUAAUAAAGUAUUUGCCAAUUUGGCCAUAACAUGAAUAAAAUAAAUAGCCCAUGGGGUCCAAGGCGGAAAAUUACAAAUUAGGGCCCCAACAAAAUUUUGGAUCGAAACACAUCAUUUGAAAGGUCUCUUUAAUUCUAAGCUUUCAGAAAUCAUAACAUUUUUGACAUUGGAUCAACGGUAUUAAAGUUAAUGGCUGUUGAAAAAUCAGGUUUGUUUUUAGAGAUAUCUUUUAGAGGCCAUAACUUGUGUUAGGAACGUCCUAUUUAAAAAACUCAAAGACACAUUCUGUAGCUCUGAGAAAGCACUAUUGUAUACAAUUAAAGUGUCUUAAAACCGCUAAUUGCUCGCAGUGCCAAAGCUCACUAAUUUGUGUGUCCUAUGCUGUAGAUGUGGGAACACGGAACCAUCGUCGGUUGUGUGCAGUGUAUUAUAGUCGUACCCCCGGGUUUGAAGUGUCCAUGGACUACUGGAUCGUGUCAUGCAGCUGCUGGAGGUGUCCUUCACCAAAGAUGGCAGUGGAUACUUCCUCAAGGCAGCUAAAGACUCUACCUAGUUCCCGGGCCGUUGUGCAGAGGUGUGUGUACGUGGGAAGGUGAUUGGGAAACUGGGCAUGCUCCAUCCUGGUGUGUCUGUUGUGCAGCUCUAGUGUGUGUGAGACUGGGAGGUGUGUCUGUUGCAGCUGUUCUCACAGCCUCCUCCAACCAGUACCUGCCCUCCGUAGUCUCCAGGGAGAACCUAUCUCCUCAGUUCCCGAGCCAGCCCCACCCCUCACUGUCUGACUCAGAAGAGGAGAUAGACUUUGUAUUCUGGGAGAAGGCGUCCACCCUAUACCCUCGGACAAGACCCCAACCAAGGACCUGAACUUGUUACGAGACUGUAAUUUGUCUGUUUUUGUAGUCAUUCCGGCUAAAAAAAUUAAAUAUGUACGUAUAACGUACCACCAAGGGCAUAUAAAAGAA
Long non-coding RNA from Halichondria panicea, 1283 nucleotides. RefSeq lists it as uncharacterized. The record is from RefSeq and is a predicted model, not a curated record. The transcript has 4 exons. NCBI's taxonomy places the organism in Eukaryota, Metazoa, Porifera, Demospongiae, Suberitida, Halichondriidae.